GUUCCCUGAUGACAGUGGCCACUUUCAGCAGGAUAAUAUACCCUACCAUGCUGCAAAAAGUGUUCAUGGCUGGUUUUACAAACAUGUGAAAGAGUUCAGGGUGUUGCCUUGGCCUCCUAAUUCCCCAGGUCCCCCCAUUUGAACAUCUGUGGAUUGUGAUGGAACAACAAAUCCAAUCCAUGGAGGCCCCACCUCACAACUUGCAGGAUCUAAAUAUCUGCUGCUCAUAUUUUUGUGCCAGAUACCACAGGAUACGUUUAGA
Non-coding RNA from Pelobates cultripes (western spadefoot toad), 262 nucleotides. The record is from the annotation of a GenBank genome assembly. NCBI's taxonomy places the organism in Eukaryota, Metazoa, Chordata, Amphibia, Anura, Pelobatidae.